CCCGUUGGUCCAGCUUGUCGAUUGUCAGGGAGCCCCCCGACUCGUCGUUUUGAGCGGAGAUCUGGAAGCAUCGUCGUGCGAGCUGUUGAUCCCCGCGCAUCUCCCCGACCCCAUUUUUGGUCGGGAACCGAACGAGGAGAUGGUACGUCGAGACGAUCGCUUUGAGGGCAUUCAAUCCGGGUCGUCCAAGGAUGGCGUUGUAGGCCGAAGGAACUUGGACGACCGCGAAAGUU
RNAcentral lists this long non-coding RNA (233 nucleotides) under Elaeis guineensis (African oil palm). Its description in RNAcentral is "long non-coding RNA (EGUI_LNC028706)". The record is from RNAcentral. Lineage: Eukaryota; Viridiplantae; Streptophyta; Magnoliopsida; Arecales; Arecaceae.